GACGAACGCUGGCGGCGUGCCUAACACAUGCAAGUCGAACGGAGUGAAACGCUGAAUUGAAGGUAGCUUGCUACUGAAUUUUCUUGUUUCACUUAGUGGCGGACGGGUGAGUAACGCGUGAGUAACCUGCCUUACAGAGGGGGGACAACAGUUGGAAACGACUGCUAAUACCGCAUAACGUCUAACCGAGGCAUCUCGGAUAGACCAAAGGAGCAAUCCGCUGUAAGAUGGACUCGCGUCCAAUUAGAUAGUUGGUGAGGUAACGGCUCACCAAGGCGACGAUCAUUAGCCGGACUGAGAGGUUGAACGGCCACAUUGGGACUGAGACACGGCCCAGACUCCUACGGGAGGCAGCAGUGGGGAAUAUUGCGCAAUGGGGGAAACCCUGACGCAGCAAUGCCGCGUGAAGGAUGAAGGUUUUCGGAUUGUAAACUUCUUUUACUGAGGACGAAAGAAAUGACGGUACUCAGAGAAUAAGCCACGGCUAACUACGUGCCAGCAGCCG
RNAcentral lists this ribosomal RNA (505 nucleotides) under uncultured bacterium. Its description in RNAcentral is "bacterial SSU rRNA". It matches the Rfam family "Bacterial small subunit ribosomal RNA", at positions 28 to 517 of the family's 1533-position model. The record is from RNAcentral.